Molecule: ribosomal RNA, 475 nt
Filed under: uncultured bacterium
Lineage: Bacteria
Description: SSU rRNA
Rfam family: Bacterial small subunit ribosomal RNA
Source: RNAcentral
AGAAUCAACGCUGGCGGCGUGCCUAACACAUGCAAGUCGAACGAGAAAGUGGAGCAAUCCAUGAGUAAAGUGGCGACCGGGUGAGUAACACGUGACUAACCUACCUUCGAGUGGGGGAUAACCUCGGGAAACCGGGGCUAAUACCGCAUAACAUCUUUGAAGUGGAAAUUUCGGAGAUCAAAGGAGCAAUUCGCUGGAAGAGGGGGUCGCGGCUGAUUAGCUAGUUGGCGGGGUAACGCCCACCAAGGCUUAGAUCGGUAGCCGGCCUGAGAGGGCGCACGGCCACACUGGAACUGAAACACGGUCCAGACUCCUACGGGAGGCAGCAGUGGGGAAUUUUGCGCAAUGGGGGAAACCCUGACGCAGCAACGCCGCGUGGAGGAUGAAGCCCCUUGGGGUGUAAACUCCUUUCGAUCGGGAAGAUAAUGACGGUACCGAUAUAAGAAGCCCCGGCUAACUUCGUGCCAGCAGCCGC